RNAcentral lists this ribosomal RNA (253 nucleotides) under uncultured bacterium. RNAcentral's name for it is "partial 16S ribosomal RNA". It matches the Rfam family "Bacterial small subunit ribosomal RNA", at positions 524 to 776 of the family's 1533-position model. The record is from RNAcentral.
UACGUAGGGGGCAAGCGUUGUCCGGAUUUACUGGGCGUAAAGAGCUUGUAGGCGGCCAAACAGGUCCGUUGUGAAAACUGGAGGCUCAACCUCCAGACGUCGACGGAAACCGUGUGGCUAGAGUCCGGAAGAGGAGAGUGGAAUUCCUGGUGUAGCGGUGAAAUGCGUAGAGAUCAGGAAGAACAUCGGUGGCGAAGGCGCUCUGCUGGACCAUAACUGACACUCAGGGACGAAAGCUAGGGGAGCGAAUGGG